UACAGAGGUCUCAAGCGUUGUUCGGAAUCACUGGGCGUAAAGGGUGCGUAGGCCGCACGGUAAGUCAGAUGUGAAAUCUCAGGGCUCAACUCUGAAAUUGCAUCCGAUACUGCCGUGCUUGAGGACUGGAGAGGAGUCUGGAAUUCAUGGUGGAGCAGUGAAAUGCGUAGAUAUCAUGAGGAACGCUAGUGGCGUAGGCGAGACUCUGGACAGUUCCUGACGCUGAGGCACGAAGGCCAGGGGAGCAAACAGG
This 253-nucleotide ribosomal RNA is filed under the name uncultured bacterium. RNAcentral's name for it is "partial 16S ribosomal RNA". It matches the Rfam family "Bacterial small subunit ribosomal RNA", at positions 524 to 776 of the family's 1533-position model. The record is from RNAcentral.